GGGAGCGUGGCUCGGCGGCUAAACAUCUGCUUGGUAUGUAGAAGGUCUCGGGUUCAAAUCCCUGCAUCUCCA
Molecule: transfer RNA, 72 nt
Filed under: Sphaerodactylus townsendi
Lineage: Eukaryota; Metazoa; Chordata; Lepidosauria; Squamata; Sphaerodactylidae
Description: tRNA-Thr
Source: RNAcentral